This 323-nucleotide ribosomal RNA is filed under the name uncultured bacterium. RNAcentral describes it as "bacterial SSU rRNA". It matches the Rfam family "Bacterial small subunit ribosomal RNA", at positions 28 to 334 of the family's 1533-position model. The record is from RNAcentral.
GAUGAACGCUGGCGGCGUGCUUAACACAUGCAAGUCGAGCGAAGCGCUUAAGUUUGAUUCUUCGGAUGAAGACUUUUGUGACUGAGCGGCGACGGGUGAGUAACGCGUGGGUAACCUGCCUCAUACAGGGGGAUAACAGUUAGAAAUGACUGCUAAUACCGCAUAACCCGAUAGGAUCGCAUGAUCCAGACGGAAAAGAUUUAUCGGUGUGAGAUGGACCCGCGUCUGAUUAGCUAGUUGGUGAGGUAACGGCCCACCAAGGCGACGAUCAGUAGCCGGCCUGAGAGGGUGAACGGCCACAUUGGGACUGAGACACGGCCCAA